UCCUGCUAUGAGUGAUAAGUUUAAAUGUAAAACUUGGGUAAAACGUAGUGAUUCAAUGCUCUUUUCUUUGGCAGUUUUAACACUAAUUUCAUUUGCAGAUAAGUAUAUACCUAGUGUACCUGCGCGUAAAGAAGGAUAAUAUGCAACAGUUAUCUACUGACAUUAUUUUUUAAAUUAUCAGUCGACAGUCUACUUACAGAACACGAAGAUGACGGCAGUAUGUUCUGGUUAUAGAAGAGAGGGGCCUUCCGCCUUAAAGAUCUUUUACUCAAUAACUGCCACAGGUGUAUCGGACACUACCGCCUUACAAUACAACAUGGAUAAUUUGGUAAUGCUGAAAUUUAAAGCCAGUGCCAAAUUGGUAGAGGAUAAAAUAAAGUUUUUUGUCAGUUUCUCAUCAUCAAAACAUGAGUCUGCUAAGGAAAAAACAUCACAAUAAAUGUAAACAGUAUAGACUUGAAAUAUUCUGCCUUGAAUAUUAAUGUGCCCAAUGAUUGGUCGACAUGGCUAGAAAUGGGACACAUUGAUCCAUCUGUAGGGAACUAUGAAAUAUAUUACAAGUCAGUAGCCAUUGUUGUCACUACACAUGAGUGUAAAACGGCAACAGUACUUUCAAAAUUGUACACUGACAGUGACUUCACAGAUUUCUCUCUAGUGUCAUCUGAAGGAUCUGUACCUGUUCACAAGGCUUGCCUGGCUGCACACAGUGACGUGUUUAAAGCAAUGUUGACCAAUGAGUGGAAGGAAAAAAUCACUGGUGAAAUAUCAUUGAAGGGAGUUACUAUUGAGACUCUUCAACUGUUAAAGGAAUACAUGUAUUUAGGCACGGUGGCUGAUGGUGAUGGUGGACUCCGGCCUUUACUUUUGAUUGCCAGGUGCUACCUUAUGGAAGAUUUAGAAAAACAAUGCAUCAGAAAGCUAGCCGAAAAUGCUACAGGAGAGACCUUGUUCUCUCUUCUUGAAUUUGCAUGUGACAACAACAUUCCGGAACUCUCAUAUGCUCUAUUGAUUAUAACACAAGAACAUGUUGUCAAUAAGGCUUUUGUAAUACAAAAAAAAAGUUGCAAUUAAUAGUAAAUAAAAGUAAACAAUCACAAUAGUAGGUAAGUUUUUCAGCAAUUAAGCAACUGCUGCUUCUAGGCAAGUUGGACCCAGUUUGAUUCAUUUUCAAUUAAUUUUACUAAUUUUUAACUUUGAAAAUGUUCUCAAUUAUGUAUGUGUUUAUGUUAAGUUGAGGUGCAAACUCAAAUUAAUGUCAUGAUUAGUGGUUGGUGUAAUGUUACCUAUACUAUUUUUGUUUAUGAAUAGAUGUUGCUUUAUUUACACGUUUGGUGCCGGCGACACAACAUUUGUGGUCAAAAAUAAUGUAACUCCUAUGCCAGUAUGUGUGUUCAAACAAAUAUACCGGCCUAUGCCAGUGACACAGCAGUAGUGUACACAACAACAUAACAUUCCUAUUUUUAUACAGCUAGCAUAGAAGUAAGAAGUUGACUUACGCCUGCGGCAUAGGAAUUAGGAAUGAGAACUUAGUAAUUUCUGUAGGCAUUUAGUAAAACAGUGUCAGGAACAAAAGCGUUAAGUUUUAGAUGAACAACCCCACUAAGGCCCACUUGCACCAAUCGCUUAACUCAGGGUUAGUGGGCUGUCAUCUGUCAAAUUUCAUACAAAAUGGUGGGUUAACCCUUCCAUUUUCGUUGGUGCAAGUGGCCCUAAUAGUUCCAAAGAUAUAGAUUUCCCCUAAGUAAUUGGAUAAGAAAUGAUUCUGCAUUUACUAUAAGCAUUGAGCCUUGUUUUGUUCUUAAAGAAUAACUGUAAGGUACAGCGGGGCAAAUCUCGACGGGGGGGCAAUUGUAACUGAUCCAUUUUUUCCAUUAUUAUACUAUGAUGUUGAGUUCUACAUGUAUCCACUGAACAGGCCUACCAUAUAUAACCGGUGGACACUCUAUUUAAUAAUGCAAAAAUUGUAAAACAUGGAAAAAAUGGACCAGUUACAUUUGUCCCCCGGUCGAGUUUUGCCCCGCUGUACCUUAACUAAUUUACCUUGGACAUGUACCUUACUAACUUAAUGACAUGAUUGUAAAAUAUUCAAAUAUAUUCCAAUUAAGACUGCUUUGCUGAUUCAGAGAUAGCUCAUAACUUCCAAGAUUGUAAGAUUACUUACCAAAGACUUUAUAAACUAAUCAGUUCAGUAACUUUUUUUUAUGAAUAAGGGGCUUAAAAUUAUUUAUAUAUUAUAAAUGUAAGAUACUGCAGCUAGGACUCACGUUUUGAUAUUUGUCGCCAACACUUUUUUCAAUAAAUUAUAAUAUGCUCACGAAAGCAUAAAUAUAGUCUAGUUCCAAAAUUUAUAAAAUCACUCUACUUCUUGAUGCAACUGGCAAAUCAUAUUUUUAGCAACCGGGUAAAAUUAGAUAAUUUUAUCCUUGUUAAGUAGUAAUUGAACACUGAACAGCAGUUCGGUAACAGGUGUCAAGCCUGAAAAAAGAGAUACUGAAGUUCUAAAACCACAUCUGUUUCGGCGGAAAAAUGAAACUUUUAUUUUUGUACAUGUACCGAGGUUAUACUUUAAUAAGGAAUAAAAAAUAAAACAAUUUAAACUAGUUUAAAUUUAAAUUUUAUUUUAAAUAUAUAACAUGAUAGCAAUCACUAUGCAAUUAAAUAUUUACUUCUAUGUGAUUGAAUGAUAUAAUAUUUGCACGUGUCUUCGCCCGUCGUCGCUCUCGUUUAAAUUUUCGUUAGAACAAUCUCAGUCUUUUUCACUAAAUUAGAUUUCGUCGUGAAAUAAAAACGUUGUUUUUUUCAAAUAUCAAAAAAAUCACAUGGCAACACUGUUGAAAUGUCGAAACGGUGUUGCUAUGUUCACAAAGUUUGUGCUCGUAUUUGAUUUUAUU
Molecule: long non-coding RNA, 2891 nt
Filed under: Leguminivora glycinivorella
Lineage: Eukaryota; Metazoa; Arthropoda; Insecta; Lepidoptera; Tortricidae
Description: uncharacterized LOC125234811
Source: RNAcentral